RNAcentral lists this ribosomal RNA (484 nucleotides) under Veillonellaceae bacterium oral taxon 145. RNAcentral's name for it is "bacterial SSU rRNA". It matches the Rfam family "Bacterial small subunit ribosomal RNA", at positions 28 to 496 of the family's 1533-position model. Lineage: Bacteria; Bacillati; Bacillota; Negativicutes; Veillonellales; Veillonellaceae. The record is from RNAcentral.
GACGAACGCUGGCGGCGUGCUUAACACAUGCAAGUCGAACGGAGCUAUUUAUUUCGGUAAACAGCUUAGUGGCAAACGGGUGAGUAACGCGUAGGCAACCUGCCCUCAGGAUGGGGACAACGGCUCGAAAGAGCCGCUAAUACCGAAUGACGUAUCCUUUCCACAUGGAAGAGAUACUAAAGAUGGGUCAAACCAUCGCCCGAGGAUGGGCCUGCGUCUGAUUAGCCAGUUGGUGAGGUAACGGCUCACCAAAGCAACGAUCAGUAGCCGGUCUGAGAGGAUGAACAGCCACAAUGGGACUGAGACACGGCCCAUACUCCUACGGGAGGCAGCAGUGGGGAAUCUUCCGCAAUGGGCGCAAGCCUGACGGAGCAACGCCGCGUGAGUGAAGAAGGUCUUCGGAUCGUAAAGCUCUGUUGUCGGGGACGAAAGGAAAGGGGAGGCAAUGCCCUUUUUAAGACGGUACCCGACGAGGAAGCCACGG